GGGGCUGCACUGGUUUCGACGGGGGCAGUGAGGCAGGAUAAGCGGGCGGAGGUGUCUGACCUCCUUAAACCGGGCAAUUUUUAAAAUUAACUGACAACAAUACUGUUGCUCUGGCUGCCUAAUUAGGCGCCCAUCCUCCCCGGAAGGACCACGAGCCGGGCUAGGGUGUGAUCUUAGUGGUGACCGUGCGGCGGGAAAGAGUUGACUCGCCCAUGCAUCAUGACUCUACUAAGCCGAUGAGAGUGUUUGUUCCCGCUUCGGCAAGGGAAUGUAAAUAACAAACUGCGCCCGAAGAAAGUCCUGUCAAGUUGUUUUCGGACAGGGGUUCGAUUCCCCUCAGCUCCACCA
This 348-nucleotide transfer-messenger RNA is filed under the name Oscillospiraceae. Its description in RNAcentral is "CAG-170 sp003516765 Standard tmRNA". It matches the Rfam family "transfer-messenger RNA". Rfam says of the family: Bacterial tmRNA, also known as 10Sa RNA or SsrA, is named for its dual tRNA and mRNA-like properties. RNAcentral also lists the same sequence under 1 other name. Lineage: Bacteria; Bacillati; Bacillota; Clostridia; Eubacteriales. The record is from RNAcentral.